This 100-nucleotide small RNA is filed under the name Microcebus murinus (gray mouse lemur). Its description in RNAcentral is "Y RNA (ENSMICG00000046605.1)". The record is from RNAcentral. Lineage: Eukaryota; Metazoa; Chordata; Mammalia; Primates; Cheirogaleidae.
GGCUAGUCCGAAGUACCAGUGGGUGAUUACAAUUAUGGAUGCAACCUUACAGACUUCUUUUCCUUCUUCGACUCCCACUGCUUCCACUUGAUAGCCUAAA